This 253-nucleotide ribosomal RNA is filed under the name uncultured bacterium. RNAcentral describes it as "partial 16S ribosomal RNA". It matches the Rfam family "Bacterial small subunit ribosomal RNA", at positions 524 to 776 of the family's 1533-position model. The record is from RNAcentral.
GACAGAGGUUGCAAGCGUUGUUCGGAAUUACUGGGCAUAAAGCGCACGUAGGCAGUCCGCUAAGUCAUGUGUGAAAUCCCCCGGCUCAACCGGGGAAUGGCGCCUGAUACUGGCGGACUCGAGAUCGGUAGGGGUGAGUGGAACUCCAGGUGGAGCGGUGAAAUGCGUAGAUAUCUGGAGGAACACCGGUGGCGAAAGCGACUCACUGGACCGACACUGACGCUGAGGUGCGAAAGCUAGGGUAGCAAACGGG